CGGGUGAGUAACGCGUGGGUAACCCGCCUCAUACAGGGGGAUAACAGUUAGAAAUGACUGCUAAUACCGCAUAAGCGCACAGUGCUGCAUGGCACAGUGUGAAAAACUCCGGUGGUAUGAGAUGGACCCGCGUCUGAUUAGCUAGUUGGUGGGGUAACGGCCUACCAAGGCGACGAUCAGUAGCCGGCCUGAGAGGGUGAACGGCCACAUUGGGACUGAGACACGGCCCAA
This 231-nucleotide ribosomal RNA is filed under the name uncultured bacterium. RNAcentral's name for it is "partial 16S ribosomal RNA". It matches the Rfam family "Bacterial small subunit ribosomal RNA", at positions 103 to 334 of the family's 1533-position model. The record is from RNAcentral.